CUGAUCAGCCAUGCCGCGUGCAGGAAGAAUGCCCUAUGGGUAGUAAACUGCUUUUAUACGGGAAGAAAAAGAGCUACGUGUAGCUUACUGACGGUACCGUAAGAAUAAGGACCGGCUAACUCCGUGCCAGCAGCCGCGGUAAUACGGAGGGUCCGAGCGUUAUCCGGAAUUAUUGGGUUUAAAGGGUCCGUAGGCGGGCCGUUAAGUCAGGGGUGAAAGUCUGCGGCUCAACCGUAGAAAUGCCUUUGAUACUGGCGGUCUUGAGUUAUGGUGAAGUUGCCGGAAUAUGUAGUGUAGCGGUGAAAUGCAUAGAUAUUACAUAGAACACCGAUUGCGAAGGCAGA
RNAcentral lists this ribosomal RNA (344 nucleotides) under uncultured Maribacter sp. RNAcentral's name for it is "bacterial SSU rRNA". It matches the Rfam family "Bacterial small subunit ribosomal RNA", at positions 383 to 725 of the family's 1533-position model. Lineage: Bacteria; Pseudomonadati; Bacteroidota; Flavobacteriia; Flavobacteriales; Flavobacteriaceae. The record is from RNAcentral.